AAACCAAACAAUGUCAUCCCGGAGCAACCCCCUCUAUCUCACAUUAACCAGAUCUAAAAAAAACCCUCUCAAAUAUGUAAUCUAUUAUUUUCAGAAGCCCUAAGAGAAAGGCAAAUAAUCUCUUCUCUAUAGUAACUGAGGGGAAAACAGUUUACCAUAUUUGUUCUGAAAUAACAAAACCCAAGGAGGAACAACUCUCUCUGAGGUAAGAGGGCAUCACAGGAGGGAUUUCAAUCCUUCCUAGUACUGGGAGGAGAAAGUGCCCUUUUCUCCAAGAGGAAAGAAUCUAUUUAUCAUCAAACAAACAAUGUGGGAGAGUUCAUAGCUGCACAAGUGUUUUCUGGGCGAAGUAAAAUGAAUCAUGGAUUAAGCUAUUUGGAAAAAAGUGUGAAAACAGAGGAGUUGAUACCAAAUUAAAACGACUUUUGGAAAUAUCAUGUACGUAUGGAACAAGUGCAAAGGGAACCACUGACUCAGCGUCAGAAAUGCCUUGUGGGGCUUUGCCGGGAGGGACUUACAGUAUAUCUUUGACAUCACUGCGCCGGCUCUUCCCUCCCUACCCGGAGAGAGGAAGACUUUUCUAAGAGGAAGCCAGGCCACAUCAGAUGCCCCCAGAUGGCAGGACACACAAGGGACACAUAUCUCCGGAAAGAGGAGGCACAUGGUUGGGCAAUCUCGACCCAUGAAGGGGGAAAAGAAAAGGGCUAAACUGAAGCUAGUGCAGCUUUUGUUCUGCCUGGAGCAGUUCAGGCUGAGCAUGGCUUCUCUGAGGCUUUGGGACCAGGAGAGGGUGAAGUGGCACCACCACCUUUCAAGGGGAACACAGAGCUCUAAGCAGUGCUCUUGUUUUUGGUGGGCCCAGCCAAGGAUCUUAAAACAUUUUGAUAGAAUGAGCAACAUGUAGCUGCAGCCUCGAUGGGUCAACAUUUUGGAUGAUAAAAGCACACAAUGCUGAUAGAUUUGUGCAUGACCAAGCAUACCUUUCAAGGAGCUCUCAGCGGAGGUUUGCCCUUUGAGACAGACACAGUCAGUGCACAGAAACUGUUUUUUUAAGAUAUCAUCCAGGAGUCAUUCCUAGAAUAGGAAUGGAAUAGACAUGCCUCCCUGAGAAGAAAGGAAGACAGAUUCUAUACUGUUAGAAUUUGAAUCUGUGUUGCAGGGAGAUGAGGAAUUUGAAGCCAGACUCUUGGGCUGUUAAUGUAUGGCUAAGUGGUGAUGUGGUGACAACCUUGAAUGCUAGUCCUGGAGGUCAAAUCACCAGCAGCUGGUGCCAUGGGAGGCUUUGCUUAGGGGACACGGCUGGGUUCUGCCUGGAUGCUGCAUCCCAAGGGAGGCAUUGAGGUGCGGCUGUGAGGACUCCAAACCCCAUGUCCAGAAGGAUGAGUAACAGAGAUCCUGUGUCAUUCAUUGAUUUCAAUAAAAUAUUUAUUGGAUCCAUAGCAUGGGCCUGGCAUUGACCAGUCAUCAAAACACAAUUCCCUGCCCUCAUGGAGUUUCUAUUCUAGACCAUGCGGGAGGAUAGGAGCAUAUGGACAGUAAACAAGAAAUCCAGUCCUUCCAUGAGACCUCGGUACACACAGAACUCCUCCUACCACGUGCAACCUUAUUCUCGGCUGAGCAACUCAUAAAUCGCAUAACAAAAA
RNAcentral lists this long non-coding RNA (1643 nucleotides) under Homo sapiens (human). RNAcentral describes it as "HSALNT0395906". The record is from RNAcentral. Lineage: Eukaryota; Metazoa; Chordata; Mammalia; Primates; Hominidae.